RNAcentral lists this unclassified non-coding RNA (2366 nucleotides) under Owenia fusiformis. RNAcentral describes it as "misc RNA OFUS_LOCUS6650". The record is from RNAcentral. Lineage: Eukaryota; Metazoa; Annelida; Polychaeta; Sabellida; Oweniidae.
AAAAGAGUCGCUGUUAAAAUCAAUACAAUCCUCAGAACUUCUGUUGUUAGGAUUCAUGAAACAUUCACAAACAAACUGAACAUUAAGUAAGAAAGAAUCUUAUAAAACACAAAUCCAGAUUAUACAGCCAAAGAAACGGAGUUGAGCUCGACGGGGAUUACAGAUUAGAUUCUAAUCUAACGAUAACUAGAUUAAAUAAGAUCAAACAGAGAAAUCACAUAAAACUGAACAUCAGGACAAAGCAGUUACAAUCACUUCAUGGUAUUACUUAAAACAUGGGGGGCGUGUUAAUUCACCAUGGAGAUGUCAGACGAGGUGGACGCUAACAAUUACUCCGGGACUGGCAAGGAGAAGGCACAUACGGCGGGAACGCUGAAUCUCGAACGCCUCCGAGAAGAAGCGGUGCGAGAUACGAAAUUCGAAAGAACAAUUUCCCAGGAUAGUGGGUUUGGAGACGAUAAUAAACUGAAUAGAGGCUCGGUAUCUAGUACCACCAGUGCGGACGAACUAUCAGGGUCGGGCUCAGAGUCUGAACCAAAUGUACCCUCUGAUUCACCUGUAAACCAAGCGCCAUUACGUAAGAGCUCUGCGUCUUGCUCAAGCGGUAAUCUGCCUAAAAUCCCCGAGGAAAGCUCUUCUGAGCCGACGUGUUUAAACUCACAAAGCAUCGAAGGACAAAGUAAUACAGACGAUGUAUUUGUCGAUGCGCCUAGUAACACAAACGACCAAGAAAACGCUGUAAAGGAGAAACCACGUAAAACUCUCGUUGAUACUGGAACAUCACCGUGCCUAGGACACAGUGAGGACAAAGGGAAACAAACGAUUGUGGAUACAAACAAAAUAAAUACAUUAUAUACUGAUCCAGUCAAUACAAAGAAAUCAGGCAUGGAGAAAAAACACAAAAAAGAAUCGAUGAAUAAAAGCAAGGCCAAGAAACCAUUGAAACCAACGGCGCCUAUGCCACCCGGUGCGUCUUGGAGAGACUAUAAAAGUAUCGCCCAAGGUGGCAAAGGUGAGUUUAGAUGGUGGGAAAACACUGACUCUGAAGGAGAGGCAACUCCAAAAGCUCGAAGGUCAAGGUCACCGGCGGCGGCCGAUGAGUUAAAUACUCGUCUAGGGAAGGUUGCUAUAACAAAUGAUAAUGCUCCGAAUGAAACUAAGACCAAAAAGAAUAGCCCACCUCCAUUGAACCACAGACAUAUCCCAGUCAUUCGAUCAGUACGUGAUCAACGGUCAAGGUCACCAUCUCCUACAAUUAACUGUCUCUCGAUCUUAAAGUUUAGGAAUCGACUGAAGAAAUCUAAAAAUAAACGCCAACCAGAAGUUCCGAUUCAACCGAAAGAUACUGCAGUUACGGUAGAAAAUCUAAGAGCGACACCCAAGGACACUGCGAGAGAGAGCGAAGACAGCGGCAUGCCACAUUCCAACUCCGAUUCGGAUAAUAGCGUAACUGAUACGAAAACCAAGGAAAAACAAAAAGCUGAAAUUACCAAGAAAGACCCUAUGGAAUCAGAUGAAUCGGAGUCCAAAUUAUUCAAGGAACUCCAAGAAACUAAAGAACGAACUGUCGCAAACGGAGGAAAGGCAGUCUUCAACUGGUGGGACGAUGACGAUGACGACUCAAAGAGUACUGAUAGCAGAGAGAGUGGUUCGUCUAACGGCAGUGAAAAGCACGUGGGGAGACGCCAUUCUACCAGUUCCAAGGUGGGAUUUGGUUUGACAGGUUCAUCAACAGCGAUGAUGAGACGUUCUCAUAGGAUGAGAGACAAGCCUGGAAAACUGUACCAACUGAAUCGAUACGAGAGAGACUAUUACUAUAACAACCAUGGUUUCGGAGAACGCCCAGGUCAAGGAACCGAGAGACCGAAUGUCAGUGGGUAUCAAAUGUACGGGGAACGCAAAUCGGCAAAAGGCAUGAGCCCAUUUGGUGGGUUGUCCCGCAAAGAAAAGUCAUAUAUGGGAUCAAAGGGUGCAGCAACCGGAGGAAGAAAGAGCGGUAAACGACGAUAACGUAUAGCAGUUACGGAUAAGUAUUCUGAAAAGCGAUGAUUAAUGAAUAUGCAGUGGCAGUUGCAUGACUAGAAUAACAUACGUAUGAAGUAUGCGUACACUUCGUGUGUAAUUACGUACACGUAUACUCGUAUAGACUUUUUUGAUUUUGUACAUGACUUCAAUUGAAUACGUGCGUGAUAUGCGUACACUGCAAGUGUUAUUCUGUAGAAGUACUCACAUGCACGUAUAAACGUUUCUUCACAUGAUUUGAAUUGUACACGUACUGCAUAUAUACUUAUAUACUUGCCCUUCACGUGUUAUUCUGUACAUGUAUACAGGUAUAGACGCUUCUUUGCUUGACGUGAUUCGUGAAU